AGUGAACGCUGGCGGUAGGCCUAACACAUGCAAGUCGAACGGCAGCACAGUAAGAGCUUGCUCUUACGGGUGGCGAGUGGCGGACGGGUGAGGAAUACAUCGGAAUCUACUUUUUCGUGGGGGAUAACGUAGGGAAACUUACGCUAAUACCGCAUACGACCUACGGGUGAAAGCAGGGGAUCUUCGGACCUUGCGCGAUUGAAUGAGCCGAUGUCGGAUUAGCUAGUUGGCGGGGUAAAGGCCCACCAAGGCGACGAUCCGUAGCUGGUCUGAGAGGAUGAUCAGCCACACUUGAACCGAGACACGGUCCCGACUCCUACGGGAGGCAGCAGUGGGGAAUAUUGGACAAUGGGCGCAAGCCUGAUCCAGCCCUACCGCGUGGGUGAAGAAGGCCUUCGGGUUGUAAAGCCCUUUUGUUGGGAAAGAAAAGCAGCAGGUUAAUACCCCGCUGUUCUGACGGUACCCAAAGAAUAAGCACCGGCUAACUUCGUG
RNAcentral lists this ribosomal RNA (492 nucleotides) under uncultured bacterium. RNAcentral's name for it is "partial 16S ribosomal RNA". It matches the Rfam family "Bacterial small subunit ribosomal RNA", at positions 29 to 507 of the family's 1533-position model. The record is from RNAcentral.